Molecule: ribosomal RNA, 402 nt
Filed under: uncultured bacterium
Lineage: Bacteria
Description: bacterial SSU rRNA
Rfam family: Bacterial small subunit ribosomal RNA
Source: RNAcentral
UCGGGAAUUUUGGGCAAUGGGCGAAAGCCUGACCCAGCAACGCCGCGUGAGGGAUGAAGUAUUUCGGUAUGUAAACCUCGAAAGAAUGGGAAGAAUAAAUGACGGUACCAUUUAUAAGCUCCGGCUAACUACGUGCCAGCAGCCGCGGUAAUACGUAGGGAGCAAGCGUUGUUCGGAUUUACUGGGCGUAAAGGGCGCGUAGGCGGCGCGGUAAGUCACUUGUGAAAUCUCUGAGCUUAACUCAGAACGGCCAAGUGAUACUGCUGUGCUAGAGUGCGGAAGAGGCGACCGGAAUUCUAGGUGGAGCGGUGAAAUGCGUAGAUAUCAAGAGGAACACCUGAGGCGAAGGCGGGUUGCUGGGCCGACACUGACGCUGAUGCGCGAAAGCCAGGGGAGCAAACG